Molecule: ribosomal RNA, 247 nt
Filed under: uncultured bacterium
Lineage: Bacteria
Description: partial 16S ribosomal RNA
Rfam family: Bacterial small subunit ribosomal RNA
Source: RNAcentral
AAACGUAGGAGACGAACGUUAUCCGGAGUUACUGGGCGUAAAGGGCGUGUAGGCGGUAUGCUAAGUCUGGCGUGAAAGCUCUCGGCUAAACCGGGAGAGGUCGUUGGAUACUGGCAAACUAGAGGAUGGUAGAGGCGUGUGGAAUUCCCGGUGUAGUGGUGGAAUGCGUAGAUAUCGGGGGGAAUACCAGUGGCGAAAGCGGCACCCUAGCCUUUGACUGACGCUCAUGUGCGAAAGCGUGGGGAGC